GGGGCUGACUUGGCUUUCGACAGGAAUGGAUAGGCUUAAGUGCAUGUGAGCCGGUACGCUCUGAAACUGCCACAAUUUAUAAACGCAAACAACGCAAAUUACGCUCCAGCUUACGCAAAAGUAGCGUAAGCUUCAUCGCUUUUUGGAGCCGAUUCUAGUAUUUCUUUCUAGCAGAAAGCUAGAAUCGUCAUUCUCGCUAGAUGCUUCUUUGCUCGCACCGAAAGUAAAGGAAAAGACAAAGGUUGCUUGUGGAUUCUAUCUCGGGGCACUGGAUAACCACAAAAAGACAGCAUUGCCUACUAAACAUGUAGAUUCUUAAGAAGCUUCAUUUUUGGACUGGGGUUCAACUCCCCACAGCUCCACCA
This 365-nucleotide transfer-messenger RNA is filed under the name Helicobacteraceae. RNAcentral describes it as "Helicobacter_A aurati Standard tmRNA". It matches the Rfam family "transfer-messenger RNA". Rfam says of the family: Bacterial tmRNA, also known as 10Sa RNA or SsrA, is named for its dual tRNA and mRNA-like properties. Lineage: Bacteria; Pseudomonadati; Campylobacterota; Epsilonproteobacteria; Campylobacterales. RNAcentral also lists the same sequence under 1 other name. The record is from RNAcentral.